This 92-nucleotide transfer RNA is filed under the name Haloferula rosea. Its description in RNAcentral is "tRNA-Ser". It matches the Rfam family "tRNA". Rfam says of the family: Transfer RNA (tRNA) molecules are approximately 80 nucleotides in length. Their secondary structure includes four short double-helical elements and three loops (D, anti-codon, and T loops). RNAcentral also lists the same sequence under 2 other names. Lineage: Bacteria; Pseudomonadati; Verrucomicrobiota; Verrucomicrobiia; Verrucomicrobiales; Verrucomicrobiaceae. The record is from RNAcentral.
GGAGAGAUGGCUGAGUCCGGUCGAAGGCACUCGACUCGAAAUCGAGCGUAGGUUUGCGCCUACCGUGGGUUCGAAUCCCACUCUCUCCGCCA